This 74-nucleotide transfer RNA is filed under the name Tautonia sociabilis. It matches the Rfam family "tRNA". From Rfam's summary of the family: Transfer RNA (tRNA) molecules are approximately 80 nucleotides in length. Their secondary structure includes four short double-helical elements and three loops (D, anti-codon, and T loops). Lineage: Bacteria; Pseudomonadati; Planctomycetota; Planctomycetia; Isosphaerales; Isosphaeraceae. The record is from Rfam by way of RNAcentral.
GGCCCGGUAGGCUAACUGGCAACGCCGCCCGCCUCAGGAGCGGGAGAAUGGGGGUUCGAAUCCCUCCUGGGCCA